GGUGAGAUGGCCGAGCGGUCUAAGGCGCCAGACUAAGGCUUAGUCAGCAUAUCUGGUCCGAAAGGGCGUGGGUUCGAAUCCCACUCUCAUCA
Non-coding RNA from Hygrophoropsis aurantiaca, 92 nucleotides. The record is from the annotation of a GenBank genome assembly. Lineage: Eukaryota; Fungi; Basidiomycota; Agaricomycetes; Boletales; Hygrophoropsidaceae.